Molecule: ribosomal RNA, 439 nt
Filed under: uncultured bacterium
Lineage: Bacteria
Description: partial 16S ribosomal RNA
Rfam family: Bacterial small subunit ribosomal RNA
Source: RNAcentral
CUACGGGGCGCUGCAGUGGGGAAUAUUGCACAAUGGAGGAAACUCUGAUGCAGCAACGCCGCGUGGAGGAUGACACUUUUCGGAGCGUAAACUCCUUUUAUAUAGGAAGAAGAUGACGGUACUAUAUGAAUAAGCGCCGGCUAACUCCGUGCCAGCAGCCGCGGUAAUACGGAGGGCGCAAGCGUUACUCGGAAUCACUGGGCGUAAAGAGCGUGUAGGCGGAUUAAAAAGUCAGAAGUGAAAUCCUAUAGCUUAACUAUAGAACUGCUUCUGAAACUCUUAAUCUAGAAUAUGGGAGAGGUAGAUGGAAUUUCGUGUGUAGGGGUAAAAUCCGUAGAGAUCAGAAGGAAUACCGAUUGCGAAGGCGAUCUACUAGAACAUUAUUGACGCUGAGACGCGAAAGCGUGGGGAGCAAACAGGAUUAGAUACCCGCGUAGUC